RNAcentral lists this non-coding RNA (31 nucleotides) under Mus musculus (house mouse). Lineage: Eukaryota; Metazoa; Chordata; Mammalia; Rodentia; Muridae. The record is from RNAcentral.
UGGCCACAUGAACCAGGUACCUGAAGGGGGU